RNAcentral lists this ribosomal RNA (644 nucleotides) under uncultured bacterium. RNAcentral's name for it is "bacterial SSU rRNA". It matches the Rfam family "Bacterial small subunit ribosomal RNA", at positions 102 to 766 of the family's 1533-position model. The record is from RNAcentral.
ACGGGUGAGUAAUAUAUAGCUAAUCUGCCUCUUAGUAGAGGAUAACAGUCGGAAACGAUUGCUAAUACUCUAUACUUCUGCUUUACAUAAGUAAAGUAGAGAAAGUUUUUCGCUAAGAGAUGAGGCUAUACUGUAUCAGCUAGUUGGUAAGGUAACGGCUUACCAAGGCUAUGACGCAUAACUGGUCUGAGAGGAUGAUCAGUCACAUUGGAACUGAGACACGGUCCAAACUCCUACGGGAGGCAGCAGUAGGGAAUAUUGCGCAAUGGGGGAAACCCUGACGCAGCAACGCCGCGUGGAGGAUGACACUUUUCGGAGCGUAAACUCCUUUUAUCGGGAAAGAAUAAUGACGGUACCCGAUGAAUAAGCACCGGCUAACUCCGUGCCAGCAGCCGCGGUAAUACGGAGGGUGCAAGCGUUACUCGGAAUCACUGGGCGUAAAGGGUGCGUAGGUGGAUUAUCAAGUCUCUUGUGAAAUCUAAUAGCUUAACUAUUAAAUUGCUUGGGAAACUGAUAGUCUAGAGUAGGGGAGAGGCAGAUGGAACUCUUGGUGUAGGAGUAAAAUCCGUAGAUAUCAAGAAGAAUACCUAUUGCGAAAGCGAUCUGCUAGAACCUAACUGACACUGAUGCACGAAAGCGUGGGG